RNAcentral lists this unclassified non-coding RNA (745 nucleotides) under Hevea brasiliensis (rubber tree). Lineage: Eukaryota; Viridiplantae; Streptophyta; Magnoliopsida; Malpighiales; Euphorbiaceae. The record is from RNAcentral.
UGUUUCCGGGGGGGCUUAAGUACAUGAGAGCAAUGGUGAAUAGGACAUUGGAGACAAUUGUAAAACCCACAAGAGCAACUGCGCCAAUCCAGUACCAGUCCUCAUCAGAGAAGAUAUCAAAGUUCUCAAGCACUGCUACGCCUAAUCUAGUAACAUUGUCUGAAGCCUGCAAUAAAAUCAAUUAAUCAAAACGCUUUUAUUAACUUGCUGAAAGGAAAGAAUAAUUUCUAUUUAUAUUAUAUUUGACUAAUAAUAUUCAAUUUGUCUAUGUAGGAUCAUUUUGAGCAACAUACCAGUUUGUCCAUCCACCUUGAAGCAAACAUUUCAUUCACAGAAAUGGCGUUAUAACCAUAGGUUAUGGGUGAUACCCAAUAAGCCCAUGCCCAACCUUUUGGAAUUUGACCUGUCACAAAGAUAUGCAUAUUUUCUCUUAGCUCAGAACUAUUAUUACUUGCUUUUAUACUCGUGCAGUUAUUGGAUUGAUUCAGAGUAAUUCAGCAACUGGGCUUAAAGACAUUAGUGUUCACGCUAACCUUUAGGUAAGAUGAAACCUCCAAGCAUGAAAAUAAGGAGGAGAGCAAAAGCCCCGCCGGUAUUGGCAAUGAUCAUAGUCCUGCACAGUCCAGCGAUGAGCCUAAAGAUCCCAGCUGCCAUUUGCUGGGUCAGAAAUACCAAUGCCAGGUGCUUGAAGAAUCUGCAAAUGGGGUAUCCAAAGUCUCAUGGUUAAUGCUGGAAAUAUCACUCA